GACGUAGGGCGCGAGCGUUGUCCGGAUUUAUUGGGCGUAAAGAGCUCGUAGGCGGCUUGUUGCGUCAGCUGUGAAAACCCGCAGCUCAACUGUGGGCUUGCAGCUGAUACGGGCAGGCUUGAGUUCGGUAGGGGAGACUGGAAUUCCUGGUGUAGCGGUGAAAUGCGCAGAUAUCAGGAAGAACACCCGUGGCGAAGGCGGCUCUCUGGGACGGUACUGACGCUGAGACGCGAAAGCGUGGGGAGCGAACAGG
This 253-nucleotide ribosomal RNA is filed under the name uncultured bacterium. Its description in RNAcentral is "partial 16S ribosomal RNA". It matches the Rfam family "Bacterial small subunit ribosomal RNA", at positions 524 to 776 of the family's 1533-position model. The record is from RNAcentral.